ACAGGGAUUGCCUCAGUAACGGCGAGUGAAGCGGCAACAGCUCAAAUUUGAAAUCUGGGUCUUUCAGGCUCCGAGUUGUAAUUUGUAGAAGAUGCUUCGGGUGUGGCUCCGGUCUAAGUUCCUUGGAACAGGACGUCAUAGAGGGUGAGAAUCCCGUACGUGACUGGUUGCCUUCGCCCAUGUGAAGCUCUUUCGACGAGUCGAGUUGUUUGGGAAUGCAGCUCAAAAUGGGUGGUAAAUUUCAUCUAAAGCUAAAUAUUGGCCAGAGACCGAUAGCGCACAAGUAGAGUGAUCGAAAGAUGAAAAGCACUUUGGAAAGAGAGUUAAACAGUACGUGAAAUUGUUGAAAGGGAAGCGCUUGCAACCAGACUUGCACGCUGCCGAUCAUCCGGGGUUCUCCCCGGUGCACUCGGUUGCGUUCAGGCCAGCAUCGGUUUGGGUGGUUGGAUAAAGGCCUUGGGAAUGUAGCUUCUUUCGGGGAGUGUUAUAGCCCUCGGUGCAAUGCAGCCUACCCGGACCGAGGACCGCGCUUCGGCUAGGAUGCUGGCGUAAUGGUUGUAAGCGACCCGUCUUGAAACACGGACCAAGGAGUCUAACAUCUAUGCGAGUGUUUGGGUGUCAAACCCAUACGCGUAAUGAAAGUGAACGGAGGUGAGAACCCUUAAGGGUGCAUCAUCGACCGAUCCUGAUGUCUUCGGAUGGAUUUGAGUAAGAGCAUAGCUGUUGGGACCCGAAAGAUGGUGAUCUAUACUUGAAUAGGGUGAAGCCAGAGGAAACUCUGGUGGAGGCUCGCAGCGGUUCUGACGUGCAAAUCGAUCGUCAAAUUUGAGUAUAGGGGCGAAAGACUAAUCGA
RNAcentral lists this ribosomal RNA (853 nucleotides) under Constrictochalara constricta. RNAcentral's name for it is "eukaryotic LSU rRNA". It matches the Rfam family "Eukaryotic large subunit ribosomal RNA", at positions 68 to 938 of the family's 3401-position model. Lineage: Eukaryota; Fungi; Ascomycota; Leotiomycetes; Helotiales; Hamatocanthoscyphaceae. The record is from RNAcentral.